RNAcentral lists this transfer RNA (76 nucleotides) under Oscillospiraceae bacterium. Its description in RNAcentral is "tRNA-Ile". It matches the Rfam family "tRNA". Rfam says of the family: Transfer RNA (tRNA) molecules are approximately 80 nucleotides in length. Lineage: Bacteria; Bacillati; Bacillota; Clostridia; Eubacteriales; Oscillospiraceae. The record is from RNAcentral.
GGACCAUUAGCUCAACGGUCAGAGCUCCCGGCUCAUAACCGGUCGGUUCUAGGUUCGAAUCCUAGAUGGUCCACCA